Molecule: ribosomal RNA, 485 nt
Filed under: uncultured bacterium
Lineage: Bacteria
Description: bacterial SSU rRNA
Rfam family: Bacterial small subunit ribosomal RNA
Source: RNAcentral
GAUGAACGCUAGCUACAGGCUUAACACAUGCAAGUCGAGGGCAGCAUUAGGUAGCAAUACUGAGAUGGCGACCGGCGCACGGGUGCGUAACGCGUAUCCAACCUUCCCGUUACUCUCGGAUAGCCUUCCGAAAGGGAGAUUAAUACGAGAUGGUGUUUGAAUUCCGCAUGUUAUUCAAACUAAAGAUUCAUUGGUAAUGGAUGGGGAUGCGUGACAUUAGGUAGUUGGUGAGGUAACGGCUCACCAAGCCCACGAUGUCUAGGGGUUCUGAGAGGAAGGUCCCCCACACUGGAACUGAGACACGGUCCAGACUCCUACGGGAGGCAGCAGUGAGGAAUAUUGGUCAAUGGACGAGAGUCUGAACCAGCCAAGUAGCGUGCAGGAUGACGGCCCUCUGGGUUGUAAACUGCUUUUAGUUGGGAAUAAAAAGAGGGACGUGUCCCUAAUUGUAUGUACCAUCAGAAAAAGGACCGGCUAAUUCCGUG